Struthio camelus australis is the source of this 605-nucleotide long non-coding RNA. The record is from Ensembl. NCBI's taxonomy places the organism in Eukaryota, Metazoa, Chordata, Aves, Struthioniformes, Struthionidae.
ACAAAAUUCAUCCCACAGCAAAGGGCACUUGCAUUGUCCUUCAUUGUUAUGGAACCUGUGCUGUAUCUUUGCCUUGGGUGGGUCAGCCAAAUAACCACCAUGACAAAGUGCUGUGUUUCUUCCCACAGGUUACGGAAGGGCUCCUUACUUGCUCUGAACAGCCGUUAUAGAAAUAAAUUUGAAGCGUGGCCUACAACCAGGACUACAGGUUGCCACGGGCUAAGAACAAACACGCAUGGUCAAUUACCACGGCUCGGUGGAUGCACGGUAAGUUGUCAAACACGUCAGCACAUGAAUGAGAUCACUCAUUCAUGUAUUCAGACCCUGAAAGCAUCAUUUUAAACUGGCUUUACAUAAACAAGUGUAACUAUGGGUAAGGACACGUGAACAAAUUAGUGUGGGGAUAACAAGUUCUUAUGUGUCAGCUUUCCCAUAAGCCUAGGUGAUUAGAGGUAGCCCCGUCCACUUUUACUGAGGGGGAAGGUAUAGCCAGUGCAUGGCAAAUCCAUAGCCUGGCGUCCAUUGCUGUAAUUGUUUUAAUGUAGUCUAAAACAUUUUAGCUUUGCUAAAAUGUAAUAAAACAGAUUUAAACCACUCCUAUACCA